CUCUCUCUGUGUGUCUGACUAACCAGAGAAACAUCCAGCCCGGUCUGACUGAACUAUAGCCGGAUAGAAAGGCUCUUCUCUGGGAAGCAGCGACUGCAACAGCCUCUGGUGGACGCGGACCUGUGGGGGUUGAUGACUGACUGAAGAGGUCUAGAUCCCCAGUUGUGAGGAUGUUGUCCACAGGGCAGAUCAGGUGGUUUUUAUGGGCUCAACUGGUGUUACUGGUUUCCUAUGACUCCUGUCAGGCACAAAGUCAAGCACCUCGGAGGAGAAUACAAUAUACAUUCAGUCCUACACGUGAAUCUCCAGCUGCAGCAGAUCUGUGCUCUUUUCCUCAUGUCUGAGUGUGGGAACGCUGUGAUACUGACCCUACUGAACAGAGUGGAAGC
RNAcentral lists this long non-coding RNA (389 nucleotides) under Gouania willdenowi (blunt-snouted clingfish). RNAcentral's name for it is "lncRNA (ENSGWIG00000019636.1)". The record is from RNAcentral. Lineage: Eukaryota; Metazoa; Chordata; Actinopteri; Blenniiformes; Gobiesocidae.